RNAcentral lists this ribosomal RNA (284 nucleotides) under uncultured Saccharofermentans sp. RNAcentral's name for it is "partial 16S ribosomal RNA". It matches the Rfam family "Bacterial small subunit ribosomal RNA", at positions 505 to 788 of the family's 1533-position model. Lineage: Bacteria; Bacillati; Bacillota; Clostridia; Eubacteriales; Oscillospiraceae. The record is from RNAcentral.
GUGCCAGCCGCUGCGGUAAUACGUAGGUGGCAAGCGUUAUCCGGAUUUACUGGGUGUAAAGGGCGUGUAGGCGGGUUUGCAAGUUGGGUGUGAAAACUCUAGGCUUAACCUGGAGAUGUCAUCCAAAACUGCAGAUCUUGAGUGUUGGAGAGGAAAGCGGAAUUCCUAGUGUAGCGGUAAAAUGCGUAGAGAUUAGGAAGAACACCGGUGGCGAAGGCGGCUUUCUGGACAAUAACUGACGCUGAAACGCGAAAGCGGUGGGAGCAAACAGGAUUAGAUACCCU